CCCCUGCUAGCUGGUUCACCACACACUGAUUGAUCGUGUUUAUACCCCGAUAAAAUGUUUGUUGAAUCAUUGCAUCAGUUAUAUCAUUGUUGGGGCAUUCCUUGACCAUAAUUCUAUAUCGAUCCCAGAUUUCGUGAAGGGGCUCAUUUGGUUCCUAUUUGAAUGCUAAGAUUUCAUCCUGCAACGCCUCCAUAUGUCCCGGUGAGAAAAACUUGGCUAUGAACUUAUCGGCCAACUCAUCCUAUGUAGUGAUAGAAUGGUUGGGAAGCCUCUCGAGCUAGUCCAGUGCCUUCCCUCUAAGUGAAAAAGGGAAUAAUCUCAACCGCAAUGCAUCCUCUGACACAUUUGUUUGCGUGCUUCCCCAACACGUAUCCACAAAACCCUUGAGAUGUUUAUAUGCAUUCUGAUGGGAAGCACCUAAGAUUUCAUCCUGCAACGCCUCCAUAUGUCCCGGUGAGAAAAACUUGGCUAUGAACUUA
RNAcentral lists this long non-coding RNA (479 nucleotides) under Nicotiana tabacum (common tobacco). Its description in RNAcentral is "long non-coding RNA (NTAB_LNC011766)". Lineage: Eukaryota; Viridiplantae; Streptophyta; Magnoliopsida; Solanales; Solanaceae. The record is from RNAcentral.